This is a non-coding RNA of Dipodomys ordii (Ord's kangaroo rat), 133 nucleotides long. The record is from Rfam. NCBI's taxonomy places the organism in Eukaryota, Metazoa, Chordata, Mammalia, Rodentia, Heteromyidae.
UGUGUCUGUGUGUGUGUCAUUGUUUAAUUUGUAAUAGAGACUUGCUGAUAGGUGCAAAAAUUAAAUCAUCUUUUGCAACCCAGAACUAAUUGUCCAAUAUGAAUUUAAGUACUUGUAUGAACCCCAUAAUAGU